Long non-coding RNA from Wasmannia auropunctata (little fire ant), 295 nucleotides. RefSeq lists it as uncharacterized. The record is from RefSeq and is a predicted model, not a curated record. NCBI's taxonomy places the organism in Eukaryota, Metazoa, Arthropoda, Insecta, Hymenoptera, Formicidae. The transcript has 3 exons.
AGCUACAAUAAUAAUUCGAUUUAUAGGUACAGGUGAACUUUGACUUGUAGAGGUCACUUUAAAUUCGAGAGUUGCAGAGAGAUUUUCCGCAGUGAAGCGGAAGGGAAUGAACAAAAUUUUCGGCUUAUAGAGAUUUUCAACUGCAUAAUAUAUAGAAUUAUUUUUUUAUUACUUAAACUAUCAUAAGUUUGAAAAUAUCGUUGCGAUAUUUUAAGUCUCCAAUGUCAGGAGAUACGAGCGUUUAUCGAAUCUCUGGAGCGAAACUGCUCGGGACAAUUCGUUCCCGGGGUCGUUC